This 553-nucleotide long non-coding RNA is filed under the name Elaeis guineensis (African oil palm). Its description in RNAcentral is "long non-coding RNA (EGUI_LNC070168)". The record is from RNAcentral. Lineage: Eukaryota; Viridiplantae; Streptophyta; Magnoliopsida; Arecales; Arecaceae.
GGCCAGGGUAAUCCAUCAGAUGGAUUUGAUAUUUUGAAAUACAAUGUGGACAACCUAAUCAGAGUUGACAGUUGAACUUUGGGGUGUCCUAUGAUCAUUUUGGUCAAGGGGAUGAAUUAUAUGAAAACUAUAUCUGCAUGGGUUCUAAGGAUGUUGUUUUACACAUUCGACCUAUCCGAUCGUCGGGUACCAUUGCUAGAUGGUCACUUUGAUUGGUACAGAAAUUUAUUCCUAUGCUACCGAGUUAGGUUCAGACCUAUGAGAUCAUAUACAUUAGAGUUCAUGAUCCGAUCGGAUGGUUGAUCAACGAUUAAGAAUCGUUCUAGGGUUAAAUGAUCAAUAUGAUUGACAUUUAACCCAGUGCAAGUGUUGCAGGAGGAUCGAUUAGCAAUUCGAUUGCUAAUUGGCUUAAUUUGAUUAAGCCAAUGGGCUGAGAUUAAGUCUAAUUAAAUAUGAUUUAAUUAGAUUUAGUUUGAGCUUGAUUGGAUCAAGUCCAAUUGGUUUAUUGGAUAAGCCAAGUGCAAGAAAAAACUAGUCCUAGUUCAACUAGGAC